AGCCCACUCUAGCCCAACCCUCACAGCCAUCGUACACUUAAAAAUUUAUUUAACCAUAAAACUAAAACAUUCUCAUAACUUAGUAUAGGCGAUAGAAAAGACCUACAGGCGCGAUAGAGACUCGUACCGUAAGGGAAAGAUGAAAUAACAAUGAAUAAGCCAAGCAAUAAAUAGCAAAGAUAAACCCUUGUACCUCUUGCAUCAUGAUUUAGCAAGAACAACCAAGCGAAGCGAACUUAAGCUUGCCCCCCCGAAACCUAAGCGAGCUACUCACAAGCAGCUAUUGUUGAGCGAACCCGUCUCUGUUGCAAAAGAGUGGGAUGACUUGUUAGUAGAGGUGAAAAGCCAAUCGAGCUGGGUGAUAGCUGGUUACCUGCGAAACGAAUCUAAGUUCUACCUUGCCACUUUUCCCCUCCAAGACCCUUAAUCUACCAUAAUGUGGACAUGCAAGAGUAAUUUAAAGGGGGUACAGCCCCUUUAAAAAAGAAUACAACCUCUUCUAGCGGAUAACUCCUACCCCAUAAACUACUGUGGGCCUUUAAGCAGCCACCAACAAAGAAUGCGUCAAAGCUCUCAACCCCAUAAAAACUUUAAAACCACACGACUCCCUUCCCACUAGCAGGUCAACCUAUGUCCAUAGGAGAAUUAAUACUAGAAUGAGUAACUAGGGCACAACCCCUCUUAAGCGCAAACUUACAUCCCUACAUUAUUAACAGAUAACUAAUACUUACACUCGAACAAGAUUAUAUAUUUCAUCCCCUGUUAAUCCGACUCAGGAGCGCUCACUAGAAAGAUUAAAAUCCGUAAAAGGAACUCGGCAAACCCAAGGCCCGACUGUUUACCAAAAACAUAGCCUUCAGCCAAACCAAGUAUUGAAGGUGAUGCCUGCCCAGUGACUCCAUGUUCAACGGCCGCGGUAUCCUAACCGUGCGAAGGUAGCGCAAUCAAUUGUCCCAUAAAUCGGGACUUGUAUGAAUGGCUAAACGAGGUCUUAACUGUCUCUUACGGACAAUCAGUGAAAUUGAUCUUCCUGUGCAAAAGCAGGAAUAAGCACAUAAGACGAGAAGACCCUGUGGAACUUGAAAAUCAGCAGCCACCUCUUAACAUAAACCCAACCUAUUAGGCCCACUACAACAAACACUGGCUUGCAUUUUUCGGUUGGGGCGACCUUGGAGAAAAACGUAUCCUCCAAAGAUAAGACCACCCCCUCUUAACCAAGAGCAACCCCUCAACGUACUAACAGUAACCAGACCCAAUACAAUUGACCAAUGGACCAAGCUACCCCAGGGAUAACAGCGCAAUCCCCUCCAAGAGCCCAUAUCGACAAGGGGGUUUACGACCUCGAUGUUGGAUCAGGACAUCCUAAUGGUGCAGCCGCUAUUAAGGGUUCGUUUGUUCAACGAUUAACAGUCCUACGUGAUCUGAGUUCAGACCGGAGUAAUCCAGGUCGGUUUCUAUCUAUGAUUGACUUUUCCUAGUACGAAAGGAUCGGAAAAGUGGAGCCAAUAAUUCAAUAUACGCCCCCUCUCUAAGUAAUGACUUCAACUAAAUUACCAAGAGACCUCACACACCAAAUCCUAGAAAAGGAUC
This 1590-nucleotide ribosomal RNA is filed under the name Turtur tympanistria. Its description in RNAcentral is "16S ribosomal RNA". It matches the Rfam family "Bacterial large subunit ribosomal RNA". The record is from RNAcentral. Lineage: Eukaryota; Metazoa; Chordata; Aves; Columbiformes; Columbidae.